RNAcentral lists this ribosomal RNA (494 nucleotides) under uncultured bacterium. RNAcentral describes it as "partial 16S ribosomal RNA". It matches the Rfam family "Bacterial small subunit ribosomal RNA", at positions 28 to 507 of the family's 1533-position model. The record is from RNAcentral.
GACGAACGCUGGCGGCGCGCUUAACACAUGCAAGUCGAACGGAAAGGCCUGCUUUCCCUUGUGGAUUGCGGGUACUCGAGUGGCGAACGGGUGAGUAACACGUGAGUGAUCUGCCCCCAACUUGGGUAUAAGCCUGGGAAACUGGGUCUAAUUCCCGAUAGGACUGCAGGGUGGUGCCUGUGGUGGAAAACGAGUUUCUAGUGGUUGGGGAUGAGCUCGCGGCCUAUCAGCUUGUUGGUGGGGUAAUGGCCUACCAAGGCGGCGACGGGUAGCCGGCCUGAGAGUGUGGACGGCCACAUUGGGACUGAGACACGGCCCAGACUCCUACGGGAGGCAGCAGUGGGGAAUAUUGCACAAUGGGCGGAAGCCUGAUGCAGCGACGCCGCGUGGGGGAUGACGGCCUUCGGGUUGUAAACUCCUUUCGACCGCGAGGAAGCCACCUGGUUGGAAGGGUGGUGACGGUAGUGGUAGAAGAAGCACCGGCUAACUACGUG